This 1339-nucleotide ribosomal RNA is filed under the name uncultured bacterium. Its description in RNAcentral is "bacterial SSU rRNA". It matches the Rfam family "Bacterial small subunit ribosomal RNA", at positions 28 to 1381 of the family's 1533-position model. The record is from RNAcentral.
GACGAACGCUGGCGGCGCGCCUAACACAUGCAAGUCGAACGGAGCUUAGAGAGCUUGCUUUUUAAGCUUAGUGGCGAACGGGUGAGUAACGCGUGAGUAACCUGCCCUAGAGUGGGGGACAACAGUUGGAAACGACUGCUAAUACCGCAUAAGCCCACGGUGCCGCAUGACACUGAGGGAAAAGGAUUUAUUCGCUUUAGGAUGGACUCGCGUCCAAUUAGCUAGUUGGUGAGGUAACGGCCCACCAAGGCGACGAUUGGUAGCCGGACUGAGAGGUUGAACGGCCACAUUGGGACUGAGACACGGCCCAGACUCCUACGGGAGGCAGCAGUGGGGGAUAUUGCACAAUGGGGGAAACCCUGAUGCAGCGACGCCGCGUGGAGGAAGAAGGUUUUCGGAUUGUAAACUCCUGUCGUUAGGGACGAUAAUGACGGUACCUAACAAGAAAGCACCGGCUAACUACGUGCCAGCAGCCGCGGUAAAACGUAGGGUGCAAGCGUUGUCCGGAAUUACUGGGUGUAAAGGGAGCGCAGGCGGGAAGACAAGUUGGAAGUGAAAACCAUGGGCUCAACCCAUGAAUUGCUUUCAAAACUGUUUUUCUUGAGUAGUGCAGAGGUAGAUGGAAUUCCCGGUGUAGCGGUGGAAUGCGUAGAUAUCGGGAGGAACACCAGUGGCGAAGGCGGUCUACUGGGCACCAACUGACGCUGAGGCUCGAAAGCAUGGGUAGCAAACAGGAUUAGAUACCCUGGUAGUCCAUGCCGUAAACGAUGAUUACUAGGUGUUGGGGGAUUGACCCCCUCAGUGCCGCAGUUAACACAAUAAGUAAUCCACCUGGGGAGUACGACCGCAAGGUUGAAACUCAAAGGAAUUGACGGGGGCCCGCACAAGCAGUGGAGUAUGUGGUUUAAUUCGAAGCAACGCGAAGAGCCUUACCAGGUCUUGACAUCCGAUGCAUAGCACAGAGAUGUGUGAAAUCCUUCGGGACAUCGAGACAGGUGGUGCAUGGUUGUCGUCAGCUCGUGCCGUGAGGUGUCGGCUUAAGUGCCAUAACGAGCGCAACCCUUAUCUUUAGUUACUAACAGGUCAUGCUGAGGACUCUAGAGAGACUGCCGUCGUAAGAUGUGAGGAAGGUGGGGAUGACGUCAAAUCAGCACGGCCCUUACGUCCGGGGCUACACACGUGUUACAAUGGGGGGUACAGAAGGCGGCUACCUGGUGACAGGAUGCUAAUCCCAAAAACCUCUCUCAGUUCGGAUCGAAGUCUGCAACCCGACUUCGUGAAGCUGGAUUCGCUAGUAAUCGCGCAUCAGCCAUGGCGCGGUGAAUACGUUCCCGGGCCU